RNAcentral lists this RNase P RNA (405 nucleotides) under Candidatus Saccharimonadota bacterium. Its description in RNAcentral is "RNase P RNA component class A". It matches the Rfam family "Bacterial RNase P class A". From Rfam's summary of the family: Ribonuclease P (RNase P) is a ubiquitous endoribonuclease, found in archaea, bacteria and eukarya as well as chloroplasts and mitochondria. Its best characterised activity is the generation of mature 5'-ends of tRNAs by cleaving the 5'-leader elements of precursor-tRNAs. Cellular RNase Ps are ribonucleoproteins. The record is from RNAcentral. Lineage: Bacteria; Candidatus Saccharimonadota.
AAUGCCAUUGUGGCGAUCGCCCUAGUCUAUUAGGAUAGGGAGGAAAGUCCGGGCAGCUGAACACUGAAACGGUAGUUGCUAACAGCAACCGUCUAAAUACUUUUUCACUAAAGGUUUAGAUAGGGAAAGUACCACAGAAAUUGCUCAUGCACUUUUAGUGCGUGGUGAAAAAAAAUCCUUCUGGAAACAGAAGAGGAUGGCAAACCCUACCGGCUGCAAGGUUGAGGUUCUCAGACUAGAUAAUUAGCUGUUCUUACAGCAUUAGAGGUGUUAAUUCAGUUUUUUGGGAGCCCCGCUUUAGUCCGCAUAUGUAAGCAAGUCUUACAAGAUAGAUGAUCGCGCCCAAGCCCAUGCUGACCGUAUGGGCUAAGGUUACAAAACCCGGCUUAUAACUUGGCAUUAGCU